Molecule: ribosomal RNA, 303 nt
Filed under: Triticum aestivum (bread wheat)
Lineage: Eukaryota; Viridiplantae; Streptophyta; Magnoliopsida; Poales; Poaceae
Description: partial small subunit ribosomal RNA
Source: RNAcentral
AUGCAGUUUAAGGAUUCAAGUAGCGAUUGCAACCCAAAACAUUGCAAAGAAUCUGCUACCAGAGGCUUCAUUAUGCACAUCUUUUCUUUUUACAAAAUGGAGUCUGAUCUGCUGUCAUCACAUCAACAGGUAUGCCUACAUCACCAAUGUUUGUACAUCGACAUUUAUUCACACACAAAUGAAGAUAUUCUAAGGUUAGAACGAACAUCACCUUCAACACCUGGUGUGUAUCGUAGUUGGGUGACAGCAGAUUGCGCAGUGGCCUCUCGGCGGUGUGAAAAUCCGGCAGAAGAAAUCACCUGA